Molecule: ribosomal RNA, 253 nt
Filed under: uncultured bacterium
Lineage: Bacteria
Description: partial 16S ribosomal RNA
Rfam family: Bacterial small subunit ribosomal RNA
Source: RNAcentral
UACAGAGGUCUCAAGCGUUGUUCGGAUUCAUUGGGCGUAAAGGGUGCGUAGGCGGCGCGGUAAGUCGGGUGUGAAAUCUCGGAGCUUAACUCCGAAACUGCAUUCGAUACUGCCGUGCUUGAGGACUGGAGAGGAGACUGGAAUUUACGGUGUAGCGGUGAAAUGCGUAGAUAACGUAAGGAAGACCAGUGGCGAAGGCGGGUCUCUGGACAGCUCCUGACGCUGAGGCACGAAGGUCAGGGGAGCAAACGGG